AGAAUCAACGCUGGCGGCGUGCCUAACACAUGCAAGUCGAACGAGAAAGUGGAGCAAUCCAUGAGUAAAGUGGCGCACGGGUGAGUAACACGUGACUAACCUACCCUCGAGUGGGGAAUAACUUCGGGAAACCGAGGCUAAUACCGCAUAAAACCUAAGGGUCAAAGGAGCAAUCCGUUUGAGGAGGGGGUCGCGGCAGAUUAGUUAGUUGGCGGGGUAAUGGCCCACCAAGACGAUGAUCUGUAUCCGGCCUGAGAGGGCGCACGGACACACUGGAACUGAAACACGGUCCAGACUCCUACGGGAGGCAGCAGUGGGGAAUUUGCGCAAUGGGGGAAACCCUGACGCAGCAACGCCGCGUGGAGGAUGAAAUCCCUUGGGAUGGUAAAACUCCUUUCGAUCGGGAAGAUAAUGACGGUACCGGAAGAAGAAGCCCCGGCUAACUUCGUGCCAGCAGCCGC
RNAcentral lists this ribosomal RNA (461 nucleotides) under uncultured bacterium. RNAcentral describes it as "SSU rRNA". It matches the Rfam family "Bacterial small subunit ribosomal RNA", at positions 26 to 518 of the family's 1533-position model. The record is from RNAcentral.